GUCGCCAUAGCUCAACUGGCAGAGCGUUCCUUUGUGAAAGGAAUGGUUGGGGGUUCAAGUCCCCUUGGCGACC
Molecule: transfer RNA, 73 nt
Filed under: bacterium
Lineage: Bacteria
Description: tRNA-His
Rfam family: tRNA
About the family: Transfer RNA (tRNA) molecules are approximately 80 nucleotides in length. Their secondary structure includes four short double-helical elements and three loops (D, anti-codon, and T loops).
Source: RNAcentral